GACGAACGCUGGCGGCGUGCCUAAUACAUGCAAGUAGAACGCUGAAGAGAUGAGCUUGCUCUUCUCGGAUGAGUCGCGAACGGGUGAGUAACGCGUAUGUAACCUGCCUGGUAGUGGGGGAUAAUCAUUGGAAACGAUAUCUAACACCGCAUAAAAUGGAUUAUCGCAGUAUAAUUCAUUGAAAGGCGCAGAUUGAGCAGUUGCAGAGGGACGUGCGGCUUAUUAGUGUGGUGGUGGGGUAACGGCUCAUCAAGGCGUUGACGGGUAGCCGGCCUGAGAGGGUGACCGGACACAGUGGGACUGAGAUACGGCCCAGACUCAUACGGGAGGCAGCAGUGGGGAAUAUUGCACAAUGGGCGGAAGCCUGAUGCAGCAACGCCGCGUGCGGGAUGAAGGCCUUCGGGUUGUAAACCGCGUGCGACUGUGACGAAGCGUGAGUGACGGUAAUGGGUAAAGAAGCACCGGCUAACUACGUG
Molecule: ribosomal RNA, 476 nt
Filed under: uncultured bacterium
Lineage: Bacteria
Description: partial 16S ribosomal RNA
Rfam family: Bacterial small subunit ribosomal RNA
Source: RNAcentral